RNAcentral lists this transfer RNA (72 nucleotides) under Bos taurus (domestic cattle). It matches the Rfam family "tRNA". From Rfam's summary of the family: Transfer RNA (tRNA) molecules are approximately 80 nucleotides in length. Their secondary structure includes four short double-helical elements and three loops (D, anti-codon, and T loops). Lineage: Eukaryota; Metazoa; Chordata; Mammalia; Artiodactyla; Bovidae. The record is from Rfam by way of RNAcentral.
UCCCUGGUGGCUCAGAUGGUAGAGAAUCCGCCUGUGAUGCAGGAUACCCUGGUUCAAUCCCUGGACUGGGAA